This 73-nucleotide transfer RNA is filed under the name Felis catus (domestic cat). It matches the Rfam family "tRNA". Rfam says of the family: Transfer RNA (tRNA) molecules are approximately 80 nucleotides in length. Lineage: Eukaryota; Metazoa; Chordata; Mammalia; Carnivora; Felidae. The record is from Rfam by way of RNAcentral.
ACCCGGCUGGCUCAAUCAGAAGAGCAUGUGGCCCUUGAUCUUAGGGUUGUGAGUUCGAAUCCCACGUUGGGCA